AUGCUUGUUUUGGCAGCACAAAUACUAAAAUUGGAAGGAUAUAGAGAGGAUUAGCAUGGCCUCUGUGUAAGGAUGACAUGCAAUUUCAGGAAGAGUUCCAUAUUUUU
Small nuclear RNA from Octodon degus (degu), 107 nucleotides. NCBI's taxonomy places the organism in Eukaryota, Metazoa, Chordata, Mammalia, Rodentia, Octodontidae. The record is from Ensembl.